Molecule: regulatory RNA element, 124 nt
Rfam family: Ribosomal protein L10 leader
About the family: This family is a putative r-protein leader autoregulatory structure found in B. subtilis and other low-GC Gram-positive bacteria. It is located in the 5' untranslated regions of mRNAs encoding ribosomal proteins L10 and L12 (rplJ-rplL). A Rho-independent transcription terminator structure that is probably involved in regulation is included at the 3' end.
Source: Rfam
UGAUUAAAUAUGACUCGACCUAAGACUCAGGCGACUAUGAUAGUCUUAAUUUUGCCUGCCGAGGAAGAAACGUGUAAAUGUUCUUCUCUAUGUCUGCUUGUCAUAGGGAUUUUUUUAAAUCCAA